This is a long non-coding RNA of Hippocampus zosterae (dwarf seahorse), 2571 nucleotides long. RefSeq lists it as uncharacterized. The record is from RefSeq and is a predicted model, not a curated record. NCBI's taxonomy places the organism in Eukaryota, Metazoa, Chordata, Actinopteri, Syngnathiformes, Syngnathidae. The transcript has 2 exons.
AAAGAGAGGGGGAAGGAGAGGGUGUUCCUCAAAAUGUAAGAUUGAGAAUCUGCAAUCCAAUUGGUCCUUUUAGACGUCAGUAAAUGCGUCAUGAUUUCUGUGUUCUGCUGCAUUCGCUGAACAUAGGAAAACGGAUGUUUCCCGACUUCAGACCGGGAAAACUUAGAAAUGGGAGAUCCGAAUUGUGAAGUCGCAAAAAAUCCCGACUUUAUUGGGUGGCAACAGUUAACAUGGGGAAAGAAGAGGCAGGACACGACAGCAGCAAGAUGCAAAAGAACGAAACAAGGACAGGAGAAGAAGAGAAAUGUUUAAUCUAAUGUAUCACAUUUGAAGUUGUCGAGUGAAGGAAGUGUAUAUUGUAACACUGAGCUCAAUUUACAAUACAACUGAGGAAACCCCGGGUGAGUAUAUUUUCAUAAGUAUUAUAGCUUUAUAAAAUAGUUUUAAAGCUGAUAUACAGUAUUUGCAGGGAACCAUGAUUUAGUCUGCUGUAUGAGUGGCAACAAAGGAAGAGGAGUUCUUAUGCCUGCCUCUUUAUGACACUGGCAUAGAAAGAAAAACAACAAUAAGAGUCUUUAAAAAUGCAAUAAUAGUAUUCAUUCAUUCAUUCAUUCAUCUUCCUAACCGCUUGAUCCUCACUAGGGUCGCGGGGGGGUGCUGGAGCCUAUCCCAGCUGUCUCCGGGCAGUAGGCGGGGGACACCCUGAAUCGGUUGCCAGCCAAUCGCAGGGCACACAGAGACGAACAACCAUUCGCACCACACUCACACCCAGGGACAAUUUAGAGUGUUCAAUCAGCCUGCCAUGCAUAUUUUUGGAAUGUGGGAGGAAACCGGAGCACCCGGAGAAAACCCACGCAGGCCCGGGGAGAACAUGCAAACUCCACACAGGGAGGCCGGAGCUGGAAUCGAACCCGGUACCUCUGCACUGUGAAGCCGACGUGCUAACCACUGGACUACCGGGCCGCCCCUGCAAUAAUAGUAGUAGUAAUUAAAAAUAAUCCUGUGAAUAUAGACUUUCACUUUGAACUACAAGACGUGCGGUGAUUGGUUUUUCAGAGUCAACGCAUGAUGUAACUGAAUCGAAAACUGUGAUCACAAAACCGAGAGCCAAACUGCGGAUUUGGUGAUCCAUUCCACCCUGAGUACAAUCCUAUACAGCAUUCCGUUUUCCGGAUUUCCUUCAAAUGAGGAGAUUCAACGUCGUUGAUAGGUCGCCAUCUGCAGGGACGAGGAUGAAAUUGCACAUAACACUGGUGUAUGUGUGUAGCCAGGUUUUUUUUAAAGAGGACGUACGGGAGCCAGCAUCAAAGACAAGACGGCAUUUGUUAAAGAGAGAACCUUUCUCUAUUUUGCUUGAAUGGAACAAUUACUCUCUCGUCCCAUCAAGACCAAGUGUUUGAGAGAGAAAACCAAGACCACGCGAGGAAGAGACAGUCAGUGGCGUUGCCACAGCUGACCAAAACAACGUCCUGACCGACCCAUGACUACUACAUGCAUCCUCAUCACACAGCACUCGAGCAAAACAUAACUCAGCGAGAGGAAAUUGGUCAUUUUAGGAGACAACAGGUGGAGAAUCUGACUUUAAAUCCAAGGUUCGGCAUUCAGAUAAAGACAUGAGAUUUCUUCACCAGGUCGCCUCAUGUGAUCUUCUGACGCGCUUCUGGGCGUUGAUCUAUCAUCUAUGCCAAAUUUUAGGCUCGCUCCAAGAGGCCCCUUGCCUGAGGAAUAUUCUGGCCGUGCCCUGCAGCUCAUUGACGAGUGAUUUUUGUUCCUGAACUACCUGGUAAUGGGAGCAAAGCGGUGAGACCUGACUGACCGUUACGGAGUCCAUCAGGCAGCCGUCAGCCGGGUCAUUAUUUCAUGGAGCAACUUUUUGUAUGCAGUACUAUGUUCAGUGAGGAUUUGGAUACCCCAGAAGCAGAUUCGCAAACAUGUGCCAGCUGUUUUUGAGGAUUACGCUGAAAAUGCCGUCAUCCUUGACUGCAUUGAGUUGAGGUGUCAAAGCCCUUCUUCCCCUCUUCUUCAGAGUGGCGUUUUUGUCACCCCGCGAGUCACACGACGGUCUGAAAGGGCUCAUUGGAGUAGCUCCACAUGAGGCAGUCACAUUUGUAUCUGGACUGUUCAGGGAAUCCAUAAGUAACAAAGAAAUAGUGCGUCAGUCUGGUCUCAUAUCCCUGUUACAACCUGAGAUGGCUGUCAUGGUUAAGAAAGCUGUUCCCAUCUAUGACAUUGUAGCUUGUGAGAUUUAUAGACCGGCCUUUCUAUUUGGGAACUCUCAAAUGCCAGCAGGUGAUGUUGAAGAGCCCUCGGCAACAGCGCAUCUCAGGGUCCCUGUGGACCGUUGCAUUCGACGGGUAAAGGAGCACACAUCAUUUGAAUCUCAGAUUCCGGGAUGGCUUGAUGUCAGCAUGAAUCAAAUAUACACUGUGGCAUGUCUGCUGACAAAUUACGAGAAUGGACCUCUUGUUAAAGCACCGGUGAAGACAAGUUAGGAGCUUGACACUCUGGCAGCGCUUCCUCCAGUUGUAAUUUGUAAUGAUUGUAAUGUACUAAAGUUUUUGACGUUUCAUA